Molecule: transfer RNA, 110 nt
Filed under: Flavobacteriales bacterium
Lineage: Bacteria; Pseudomonadati; Bacteroidota; Flavobacteriia; Flavobacteriales
Description: tRNA-Val
Rfam family: tRNA
About the family: Transfer RNA (tRNA) molecules are approximately 80 nucleotides in length.
Source: RNAcentral
GAGAUAUUAGCUCAGUUGGUUUACCUGCCCGUACCGUACGGUACGUUCGGGCGGGGAGCACUACCUUGACAGGGUAGGGGUCACUGGUUCGAAUCCAGUAUGUCUCACCA